This 776-nucleotide ribosomal RNA is filed under the name Streptomycetaceae bacterium. RNAcentral describes it as "bacterial SSU rRNA". It matches the Rfam family "Bacterial small subunit ribosomal RNA", at positions 29 to 822 of the family's 1533-position model. Lineage: Bacteria; Bacillati; Actinomycetota; Actinomycetes; Kitasatosporales; Streptomycetaceae. The record is from RNAcentral.
ACGAACGCUGGCGGCGUGCUUAACACAUGCAAGUCGAACGAUGAAGCCUUUCGGGGUGGAUUAGUGGCGAACGGGUGAGUAACACGUGGGCAAUCUGCCCUUCACUCUGGGACAAGCCCUGGAAACGGGGUCUAAUACCGGAUAACACUCUGUCCCGCAUGGGACGGGGUUGAAAGCUCCGGCGGUGAAGGAUGAGCCCGCGGCCUAUCAGCUUGUUGGUGGGGUAAUGGCCUACCAAGGCGACGACGGGUAGCCGGCCUGAGAGGGCGACCGGCCACACUGGGACUGAGACACGGCCCAGACUCCUACGGGAGGCAGCAGUGGGGAAUAUUGCACAAUGGGCGAAAGCCUGAUGCAGCGACGCCGCGUGAGGGAUGACGGCCUUCGGGUUGUAAACCUCUUUCAGCAGGGAAGAAGCGAAAGUGACGGUACCUGCAGAAGAAGCGCCGGCUAACUACGUGCCAGCAGCCGCGGUAAUACGUAGGGCGCAAGCGUUGUCCGGAAUUAUUGGGCGUAAAGAGCUCGUAGGCGGCUUGUCACGUCGGAUGUGAAAGCCCGGGGCUUAACCCCGGGUCUGCAUUCGAUACGGGCUAGCUAGAGUGUGGUAGGGGAGAUCGGAAUUCCUGGUGUAGCGGUGAAAUGCGCAGAUAUCAGGAGGAACACCGGUGGCGAAGGCGGAUCUCUGGGCCAUUACUGACGCUGAGGAGCGAAAGCGUGGGGAGCGAACAGGAUUAGAUACCCUGGUAGUCCACGCCGUAAACGUUGGGAACUAGGUG